GGUUCUGUAGUAUAGCGGUUAGUACUGGGGACUCUAAAUCCCUUGACCAGGGUUCGAAUCCCUGCAGGACCU
This is a transfer RNA of Ichthyophthirius multifiliis, 72 nucleotides long. It matches the Rfam family "tRNA". From Rfam's summary of the family: Transfer RNA (tRNA) molecules are approximately 80 nucleotides in length. Their secondary structure includes four short double-helical elements and three loops (D, anti-codon, and T loops). The record is from Rfam. Lineage: Eukaryota; Ciliophora; Oligohymenophorea; Hymenostomatida.